RNAcentral lists this ribosomal RNA (474 nucleotides) under uncultured soil bacterium. Its description in RNAcentral is "bacterial SSU rRNA". It matches the Rfam family "Bacterial small subunit ribosomal RNA", at positions 26 to 509 of the family's 1533-position model. The record is from RNAcentral.
AGAUUGAACGCUGGCGGCAUGCCUUACACAUGCAAGUCGAACGGCAGCACGGGAGCAAUCCUGGUGGCGAGUGGCGAACGGGUGAGUAAUAUAUCGGAACGUGCCCAGUCGUGGGGGAUAACGUAGAGAAAUUUACGCUAAUACCGCAUACGAUCCAAGGAUGAAAGCGGGGGACCUAAGGCCUCGCGCGACUGGAGCGGCUGAUAUCAGAUUAGCUUGUUGGUGAGGUAAAAGCUCACCAAGGCGACGAUCUGUAGCUGGUUUGAGAGAACGACCAGCCACACUGGGACUGAGACACGGCCCAGACUCCUACGGGAGGCAGCAGUGGGAGUUUUGGACAAUGGGCGAAAGCCUGAUCCAGCAAUGCCGCGUGCAGGAAGAGGCCUUGGUGUAAGCACUUUAGUGGAGGAAGGUUGUACUAAGUACGUGCAACGUUGACGUUACCGACAGAAUAGCACCGACUAACUCGUCGCC